GAAAAUCACGCGAUUCAGUUUCCU
RNAcentral lists this non-coding RNA (24 nucleotides) under Arabidopsis thaliana (thale cress). The record is from RNAcentral. Lineage: Eukaryota; Viridiplantae; Streptophyta; Magnoliopsida; Brassicales; Brassicaceae.